UCUUCUCCAGAAUUAAUCAAU
RNAcentral lists this non-coding RNA (21 nucleotides) under Caenorhabditis elegans. Lineage: Eukaryota; Metazoa; Nematoda; Chromadorea; Rhabditida; Rhabditidae. The record is from RNAcentral.